Molecule: long non-coding RNA, 229 nt
Organism: Mastomys coucha (southern multimammate mouse)
Lineage: Eukaryota; Metazoa; Chordata; Mammalia; Rodentia; Muridae
Exons: 2
Source: RefSeq, a predicted model, not a curated record
CUCUGUUCACAUUGCAAGACUCCAAAGCUGUCCAGGCACAGAGGGCUCAGGAUUGGAGAGAAAGGGCCCUGGAUUACGUAAGAAGGAGAAAGCAAGCUGAGGAGGAAAGCGAACCGUCUUUGCAUUCAUCACCCUCCACUUCAGGACUGCAGAUGUCACGUGACCAGCCGCCUCAGGCUCCUCCCACCACGCCUUUCCCACCAAUCAUCUGUGCUCUUAAACGGUGAAA